Molecule: ribosomal RNA, 301 nt
Filed under: uncultured bacterium
Lineage: Bacteria
Description: partial 16S ribosomal RNA
Rfam family: Bacterial small subunit ribosomal RNA
Source: RNAcentral
CAGUCGCCGCGGUAAUACAGAGGGUGCGAGCGUUAAUCGGAUUUACUGGGCGUAAAGCGUGCGUAGGCGGCUUCUUAAGUCGGAUGUGAAAUCCCUGAGCUUAACUUAGGAAUUGCAUUCGAUACUGGGAAGCUAGAGUAUGGGAGAGGAUGGUAGAAUUCCAGGUGUAGCGGUGAAAUGCGUAGAGAUCUGGAGGAAUACCGAUGGCGAAGGCAGCCAUCUGGCCUAAUACUGACGCUGAGGUUCGAAAGCAUGGGGAGCAAACAGGAUUAGAUACCCCUGUAGUCCCUGUCUCUUAUAC